AUUUUAAUUUUAAAUUUUUUUUGUCCUUAACGGUAAUUAUGUACAAGGGUAAAAUAGGUUAUUCAUAUUUAAAAUUAGUAUGGGGUGUAAAGAGCAAAUAAUGGGGUGCCUAUAAAAUCACCCAAAUAAUAAUUGGUUAGUAACCAAAAUUCUAAUGAAAUAAGGAACCAAAAUCCUAACUAAGUAUGGACUCGCCAACAAGGACUUGUUGUCUGCAAAGCCCUUUUCGGUGGAUUGGUUGAUUAUAUUAUUUCUGAUCCCGUUGUUGCUAUGAUUUGGGAGGGUAAGAAUGUUAUCCUAACUGGUCGAAAGAUUAUUGGUGCCACCAACCCAGCAGAAUCUGCCCCUGGAACCAUCCGUGGUGAUUAUGCAAUUGAGAUUGGCAGCAUGUCAUUGCUUUUCAUCCCAGGGCAAGAGAGAUCCACAAUGGAAUUGUACUAACCGUCGACCGUAGUAGGUGUUCUGUGCAGUUUGACCAGCUUGAACUAGGGGUUGAAUAUAUCAUGGUGUGAUGGAGAUAUCAUUGUUCAAAGCACUUGUUAAUGACAUAGAGUUAGACGAAAGGACACGUACACCCAAAUGGAAUUGGAUGAGGUGCGAGAAGAAUUGGCAACUCAUGUCCUAUAAUGGCCUUUUGAUUGAACUAAACAUUCCUCCUUCAUUUUUCAUGUCUUUCUAGCUAGUAUUUUGCGUAAAUGUAGACAAGUAUGGAUAAUUUGUGGUGUCAGGUUGGAAAAAUUGUGAUUUGGAUGUGAUAAGUAUGGAUCUUUCAAGUAUUUUGCUUAU
Prunus mume (Japanese apricot) is the source of this 786-nucleotide non-coding RNA. The record is from RefSeq and is a predicted model, not a curated record. Lineage: Eukaryota; Viridiplantae; Streptophyta; Magnoliopsida; Rosales; Rosaceae.